AACGAACGCUGGCGGCGUGCUUAACACAUGCAAGUCGAGCGAGAAAGGGAGCUUGCUCCUGAGUAAAGCGGCGCACGGGUGAGUAACACGUGGGUAACCUGCCUUUCAGUGGGGGAUAACAGCCCGAAAGGGCUGCUAAUACCGCAUUCGUCCACACGGUCACAUGUCUGUGUGGAGAAAGAGGCGCAAGUCUCGCUGGAAGAUGGGCCCGCGGUCCAUUAGCUAGUUGGUGGGGUAAAGGGCCUACCAAGGCUUCGAUGGAUAGCUGGUCUGAGAGGAUGAUCAGCCACACUGGAACUGAGACACGGUCCAGACUCCUACGGGAGGCAGCAGUGGGGAAUAUUGCGCAAUGGGCGAAAGCCUGACGCAGCAACGCCGCGUGUGUGAUGAAGGCCUCGGUUGUAAGCGACUAGUUCAGAGGGAAGGAAA
RNAcentral lists this ribosomal RNA (429 nucleotides) under uncultured bacterium. RNAcentral describes it as "bacterial SSU rRNA". It matches the Rfam family "Bacterial small subunit ribosomal RNA", at positions 29 to 451 of the family's 1533-position model. The record is from RNAcentral.